Molecule: long non-coding RNA, 542 nt
Organism: Contarinia nasturtii (swede midge)
Lineage: Eukaryota; Metazoa; Arthropoda; Insecta; Diptera; Cecidomyiidae
Exons: 3
Source: RefSeq, a predicted model, not a curated record
GCACUGUUAAAAAUGUGACAUUUUAUUCGAGCAUAUGCAAUUACAUUGUGCACAUUUUUUCAACGUUAAUCAAACAUUUAACCAAAUCAAAAAACUACUUGAAGUGAGCGAAAAAAAAAGAUGUCCGAAUCAAUAUCAAUUACACCCGAAUUCGUUUGUGAAAUUGUCAAAAUAAUUUGGAAUGAAUAUUCGGCUUCAGACGCUGUUCACGAAAUAUUCGCUUUAUUAUUAUCGAUUAGAGAAAAAACAAACGAAUUGAUAAGUGGUGUGACUGUCGAGAAAGACCAAUUUAAUAAAAGCGAACUAGAAGCAAUCGAAAGAGUUAGGGAAAUGGAAGUCGAUCUACAUGAAGCAAUCCAUUUGUUGGAUCCAAAAAAUAGAUUGAAAUGAAAAAAACGUACCAGCAUUAAAUGGCGGCGGUGGUGGUGGAGGUGCUGUUUGGCUCAGAGUUUGACCAUAUUGUGAACUAGCUGUACCGUUACCAUAUCCAUUUGCAUUUGAAGCACCAUUUGUUUGCCCAUAAAUAUCUGAAUAAAGAAAUU